RNAcentral lists this long non-coding RNA (39594 nucleotides) under Hordeum vulgare. RNAcentral's name for it is "long non-coding RNA (HVUL_LNC001717)". Lineage: Eukaryota; Viridiplantae; Streptophyta; Magnoliopsida; Poales; Poaceae. The record is from RNAcentral.
ACAAUUUUAUCUUGAAAUUUUAGUGAGGGAUCACCUUAUAAUGUUAGCAUCCUCCUAAGCAAAACAAGGUGCAUAAAAAUGAUGAAAGUCACAUGAAAUCAUAAGUGACAUGAUAUGGCCAUGAUCUUGUGCUUUUGAUCUCCAUCUCCAAAGCACCGACAUGAUCUCCAUCGUCACCAGCACAACACCAUGAUCUCCAUCAUCGUGUUUCCAUCAAGGUUGUCGCGCCAACCAUGCUUGUACUACUGUUGAUACAGUUUAGCGAUAAAGUAAAGCAUUACAUAGCUCUUAAUGAUUGACACACAAGUCAUACAAUAAUUAAAGACAACCCUAUGGCUCCUACCGGUUCCCGUAGCAUCGACAAGCAAGUCGACAUUAACUAUUGCAACAUGAUCAUCUCAUACAACAAAUACAUAUCAUCAUGUCUUUGGCCAUAUCAUAUCACAACAUACCGUGCAAAAACAAGUUGGACAUCCUCUAAUUUAUCGUUGCACGUUUUACGUGGCUGCUAUGGGUAUUUACCAAGAAUUCUUCUUAUCUACGCAAAACCACAACGGUGAUAUACAAGUUGCUAUUUAACCUUUUAUAAGGACCGCCUUUGUCGAAUCAUAUUUAACUAAAGUGGGAGAGACAGACACCCGCUAGCCAUCUUUAUGCAACAAGUUGCAUGUCAGUCGAUGGAACCGGUCUCUCGUACAUGUACGAGUAAGGUUGGUUCACGCCGCUUUAUCCCACAAUACCGCUAAAUCAAGAAAAUACUAAGGAGGGAAGGAAUCUGAAUAUCAGCGCCCACAAACUCCUUUGUGUUCUACUUGAGAUGUCAUCUACGCAUAGACCUAGUUCUGAUACCACAGUUGGGGAAUGUUGCAUGGGAAACAAAAACAUUCCUACGCCCACCAAGACCGUUCUAGGAGAUGCACAUCUACGAGAGUAAAGACUGAAUCUACAUACCCUUGUAGAUUGCUAAGCGAAAGCAUUCAAGAGCGCGGUUGAUGUAGUUGUACGUCUUCAUGAUCCGAUCACGAUCCGUCUCACGAACUCCUUGUCAAGCGCCGAAUGGACGGCACCUCCGCAUUCAACACACGUGCAGCUUGGUGACGCCUUCACCUCCUCGAUCCAGCGAGCGAUGGUGAAGUAGGAGCACGAGUCCUACGACAGCACGACGACGUGGUGAGAUGAUGGUGGUGAUAGCUCAGCAGGGUUUCCUCGCCUGAUGUUUAGAGGACAAGAACUACGAGGGAGAGGAGGAGCAGCGCCACGGCAAGAUGUCGUCUGGCUGCCCUCUCUCUACCUCUCUAUAUAUAGGGUUAAGGGUGGAGGGGAGGGCGCCAUAGGGUUUCCCCUAUGGGCCGGCGGCCAGGAUGGGCGACGGCUAGGGUUGGGGUGCCCUCCCCCCACUUGGGUGCCUUGCCACCCAAGUUGGACAGGCUGAUGCCCUGGGGGGAGGCCCUCCUCCCUUCGGCCAAAGUGGGCUGGGGUGUGGGUGGUGCCCAGACCCUUGUGGGAUGGUGUGCCACCCCUCCUUGGCCCAUGAGGCCGCCAACACUUGUCGGGGCCUCCCGAAAAUCCUUUCGCUAUUCUGUCAUUCCCUUGUAUUCCCUGGAAUACUUCCGGACUCCGAUACUCUUCAUCCUAUAUAUCAAUAUUCACCUCCGGACCACUCGAGAGUUCCUCGUAAUGUCCGGUAUCUCAUCCAGUACUCGGAACAACCUAUGUCCCACCAACAAUAUGACUCAAUUAUGCUCAUAUCGUCACCGUACCUUAAGCGUGUAGACCCUGCGGGUUCGAAAACUAUGCAGACAUGACCGAGACACUCUCCGGUCAAUAACCAAUAGCGGGACCUGGAUGCCUAUAUUGGUUCCUACAUAUUCUGCGAAGAUCUAUAUCGGUCGAACCUCGAUGUCAAGGAUUCAAUCAAUCUCGUAUAAAAUGCUCUUUGUCCAUCGGUAUGUUACUUGCCCGAGGUUCUAUCGUAGGUAUCUCCAUACCUAGUUAAAUCUCCUUACCUGCAAGUCUAUUUACUCGUUCCGUAAUACGAGAUACCGUGGCUAACUCUUUAGUCACAUUGCUUGCAUGCUCAUGGUGAUGUUGACAUACCUCUCGAUCACACGGAGUGACAAAUCCCAGUCUUGAUCCAUGUCAACUCAACCCACACCCUCGGAGAUACUUGUAUAGCACAUUUAUAGUCACCCACUUACGCAACGGCGUUUGAUACACACAAGGUACUCCUCCGGUGUUAGUGAGUUGCAUGAUCUCAUGGUCAUAGGAAUAGAUACUUAACAUGCAGAAAAUAAUAGCAAUAAACUGACACGAUCAUAUGCUACCUUCAUAGUUUGGGUCUUGUCCAUCACAUCAUUUUCCUAAUGAUGUGAUCCCGUUAUCAAAUGACAACUCAUGUCUAUGGCGAGGAAACCUUGACCGUCUUUGAUCAACGAGCUAGUCCAUUAGAGGGUCACUAGGGAGAGUGUGUUGUCUAUGUAUCCACACAUGUAUUUGAGUUUCCAAUCAGUACAAUUCUAGCCUGGAUAAUAAACGAUUAUCACGAACAAGGAAACAUAAUAAUAACCACUUUAUUAUUACCUCUAGGGCAUAUUUCCAACAUCUAAUGGAGACUGCUUUCCACCCUUUUCAGCACCAUCUGAGGUGGUCGAUCUGUAAGAAAAUCAACAUCAGAACAUGAAAUGCUAUCAAUGGCAAGAUCAACAUAUGUCUUAAUUUGCUCACAAUCUAAUGAAAUAAGAAAAGAAAAUCUCAGGUAACCACGUGAUACACAAAGCAAAGGACAUUUAAAUCCUAAAACGUGAAGAUGUUUGAUAUACAUGGUGUUCUGCCAUGAUGACCAAGAAGAAAAGUAGUAUAGAAGUAGAAUUUAUAUAAACAAAUAAGAUGCACUAUAUUAGAAGAAAUGAUGAAAUCAAUUUCAGAACUUCCCUCUUCCCUACCCUACCCCUGAUAUACAUUCAAUUUUGUCGGACGCAAAAUUCCAAUAGAACAAUAGGACUGAUGGAAUCAAUUUCAGAACCACCAUAAAGAACUAAACUAACUUCCAAACAAACAUUUCAAGCUUGGAAGUGCCAAACAUGCACAUAUUCAUAUAGUGGGUAGGAAUGUAACAACAAUUGUCUGCUUGCAUAGGAAAUAAUGGUCAUAAUGGUGCCAAUUGAACAUAGAUGAGUAACGAAAUUAAAAACCAGAGAGUUGUGGAAGCAGUGACCUCAGGUGGUGUUUCCCUUGUGCUCCUGGCUCCGGCACCUAACGACCACGGGUCUAUAUUCCCUUCAAGUACAGGUAAAAUCAGAUCAAUCUCCAUCAGCAGACGAACCCAAGCCAACCAAGAACAUGCAUGGUGGUGGCGAUAAAUGUUCUUCACCAUAUUCGACGCUAGGAGUGCAGUGGAAUACUCACCAAGGAAAUCACUGCUGGAGAGGCCCUUGGCAUAGACCAGAUGCACCUCUAGAAGACCACACCCCAUUGUUUUCUUCUCCCCGUGCUGCUGCUCCUCUCUUCCUCCCCUGGUUCUAAGUCGAGGCCUUGCCCCUCUGCUCGAUCUGCUUCUGUCGAGGCCGGACCGAGGUCGCGCUAUGGUUGCUACUCCUCUCUUGCUGACUCCUAUUGAGUCCGGAUUGAGGCCGCGCUCCUCACUCUAGCUCCUCAUGCUGAGGCCGGACCAUGGCCGUGCUGCGGUUAUUACACCUCUCCUCCUCCUAAGCCCAGAUCGAGGUUGUGCUCCUUGGCUCGAGCCGCCGCCUCGCUCUCCUUCUCUGUCACACCCCACUUAUCCCCUUCACAUCCCUCCUCCUUCCUAAGCUCGAAAAGGAGAGAGGGAAGCGGCUUGGGGGGAGGGCAGCAGGCGUAGGACCCAAGGAGAAGUAGAAGAGGCAGGAUUGGGAGAUUGGGGGAGAGGAGGCAGUGGAUUGAGGAAAGAGUUGUUGCACGCUCGCUGCACUUGUGUUGAUACCCGCUUGCUCUCUUUGCCAUCUUCUCUCGCUGCUCGCGCACCCUGUUUUUAGCCGACGUGGAGGCCUUGGUUGUGCCUAGCACCCCUUCAUCCUUUAUAAGUAAAAUGACAUGGUCAUCCUUGUCAUCCUCAUUCAGUAGCUCGAUUAGCACCGCAUUCUUCUUCUCAAGCGAACCCCGACGCUCCACUAGCUACCUCGCGAGUGGGUCGAUGUUGUUGAAGUCGGCGAGGAAACAACGCCGAGUGUUGGCAUCAGAUUUUGGCAUGGUCAAUAUUUUAAUUAAAAUGACUUCAAAUUAAAUAGUACUCAACAUGAGAAAGUUCCAUAUAGUUAAAAUGAGAAACUUUGAUGUAUUGGUCAUCACUAACUGAUCUCAUCUAAUGGGCUAAAACUAUGCUCAAAGUACUUAGAUUUUGUAUUUAGAGUAUUGUUCCGCUAAUUAUUCUCCCAAGACAGACUCAUAUGAAAAAAUGUUCUACAUGGAUUGUCUUCGCCUCGUAUGCAAAAUGAUCGAUUAUGGUAUAAAAAUCAUCUUAACCCGAGGUCGCAUGCGAAAGUUAGAGUCGUAGGGUGCAGAACCCUACGAGGAGGCAAAAGGUGGCGCGCCCAAUCAGACACAUGGCUGAUAUGUAAUGAUGUCAAUUUCUUGUUUUGUGGGAGCGUUUUGGUCCACAAAACAGCCUCGAUUCGAAAAACGUUCAACACGAAAAGUUGUCCCUCUCGUCAAAAUGGUUAAAUUUGCUUUUGGGCUCAUAAUCAGCCGAUGUUGUUUGCGGCCUGUGAGACCCAAAAACCGAACUGUUGUCAUAGUCUUGCCUAAAUCCGAGUUCGGUUAACUUUGGAAAGAUUUGGACGGGAUUUGGAGUCUUUUCUUGUACGAAAGUUCAGACGCCUCAUAAAUAGAUGAGAGUUGAUGGUCGAUUGAACAACACACAAUCAAACAAAUCAAUCUACUACUUUUUCGUGUUCAUCUACUUUUUAUCCCACUCUCUUGUGUCUUCUUCUCAUUCUUCGUCAUUCUUCAAGACCGGAGGGCCGUGAACCUACGAGGUCCUGGGAACGGUCAGGCAGACCUAGGGCAGCCCAUAGCCGUCACGCACCCUGACGGGGUCCCUCCCGGGCAUGUGGGGUUUUAGGUCUGCAAAAGCACCUGCCGGACUACUUGCGUACCACAUUUCCAGACGGAUCUCCUUCGAUGUGAGUUGCGGUGCAUCACCCCCGACAUGGAGGGUACACGGUGACAUGUUUGUGUGCGAACACACUUUUUGGCGACUCCGCUGGGGACGAAGCUUUGAAAAGGCUCUAGCCCAUUCUUGCUACGAAGAGAUCGUCAUCUAGGGUUUGCACACUACAAAGGUAAUAUGAAUACCCAAUUCACUUAUGUAGAUGCAAAUAAUGCAUAUGUUGUUGCUAGAUCGUUUAAUGAUCAUAAUGUAUCGGCUAGCCCUAGUUUUAUGAAUCAUGCAUCUAGUUAUGUUCGACGAAUAACUUGCACUAUGUUAAUCCAAAAAUGUCGGUGGAUAGGGGAAUUGGCCAUAUGCUACUACUAGUUAUUUGGCCAAUUACCCUCAAACAUCAUAUGCUACACCUCAUGCUACCCGCAACUGUUGAUGUUUAUAAUUCGGCUCCGCACCUUCACGGUCAAGGCCGAAUAAGUGAAACUUCUGUAGGAGCACGAAUGCCUUAACCUAGUACCGUAGCAUAUAAUGAUGCCCCUCGACAAUUUCAAAAUUUCAGCAACAUAUCAUUGUCGGAUGUGUCUAAAAGUGUUGGAGGGCAACCCGACGAAUAUUGGGCUAGAAUUGGGCAAAAAAAGCUUAAAGAUAGCCUAGCUGCAAUGUUUGCUGAGUUUAGACAAGAACAAGGAGCCUUGCGAAUCAAAGAAUAAAGAGUGGUGAUUUGGAUAACCAAGUUAAUUAGGUUAUUGAAAAGGCCAAAACAAAUAGUACAUGUGCCGAAUUUGUUAUGUUAAAGGAAGAUGAUAAGGCGUUGAAGAGUUAUCCAAAAGUGGAGCAAGAUGUUGUUCAUAUCACACAACCAUCAUGCUCUCCCAACAUAUUUGAAGAGGUAUCUCUAGAAGUGAUGUACCUAUUUUUCGAUUUGGUUGCAACUUUAUUGUUGAUGCUUCUAUUAGAAAAAUUAUCGUAAGUAGUUUGGAAAGACCAAUGAAGAAGGGUAAAUUAUUUGUUAGCAAUAAAACCACUACGAAGCAUAUCGAUCAAAAUGUUGUGCCAUUCAUAGAGAUUGAUAGUGACCUAUUGCAACCAAAGCUUUUGACAUUGCUUUAUUUAAAGUUUAUAUCUAAUUGGGUAGCUUUGCUUGUUUCAUACUUGAGUUACGCCUGAUCUCAAUUGAGACAUGUGUGGUCUAACUAUUUUGUUUCAGAAAUUUAAAGCCAAGGUUAAAUUAUUUUGAGAAAACCGAUGCUAAAAUAAUAUCUUAUCCAAAGACACCGGAGAUAGAGUGCAAAACAUAAUGCAUAGUCGAAUGGGGAGAUUCCAAAUCUGAACCAUUUGUUUGCUUACCUCCAAAGUUGUUCCCACACCAAGAUCAAUUAAAAAACAAGAAGUAUUGACAAGAGUGGGAUUUGAACCCACGCCCUUUCGGACCAGAUCCUUAAUCUGGCCCCAUAGACUAACUCGGCCAUCUGAUCAUGAUGGGACUCGAUCUAACCCUCCUCUUGCACUCCCGCGAUCGGUAGAGGAGGCUUCCAGGCGCCGCCGGCCCCGACCCCUCUCCUCCUCCUCUUCCCUCGCCGCCGCCCGGGCACGCUGGCGGGCGAAGCCUGUCUGGCGUGGGUGGUGUCGGGGAGUCUUCUCGUCCUCGCCUGGUGAGGUCGUCACAGAGCGAUCUGGCCCGGCCAGGGCGCAAUGUUGUGCGGGGCACGGCGGCGAUAGGCGGCAGCGCUGAACACCAUGGUGCUGGCGUGGAGGGCUGCAUACGGGCGGGUGCACGCAGCUUCGUGUGGCACGGUGUGACGUCGGGAGGAUGUGGGUCGGUCGAAUCUCGCCUGGGACACUGGCCGGCGGCGCGGGGUGGCGGGCACAACUAGGAGCAGGGGCGGAGGACGUUGAUGGCGGUGCCGUGUGCGGGGCCGUCGGCGUGGUGACCCGUGGUGUCUGGUGCUGGCGGGGAGUUUGGGCCUCCUCUUCCCCGAUCUGGAUCGGCUAGGUGCGGGGACGUUCGAUAACCCAAAAGUAUAGGGGAUCAAUCGUAGUCCUUUCGAUAAGUAAGAGUGUCGAACCCAACGAGGAGCAGAAGGAUCUGACAAGUGGUUUUCAGCAAGGUAAAAUCUGCGGGCACUGAAAUUGUCGGUAACAAGUGAUUGUGUGGUGAGAUAAUUCAUAGCAAGCAACAAGUAACAAAAGUAGCAACGAUGCAGUAAAGUGGCCCAAUGCCUUUUGUAGCAAGGGACAAGCCUGGACAAAGUCUUAUAAGAGGAAAAACGCUCCCGAGGACACACGGGAAUUUCUGUCAUGCUAGUUUUCAUCAUGUUCAUAUGAUUCGCGUUCGUUACUUUGAUAGUUUGAUAUGUGGGUGGACCGACGCUUGGGUACUGCCCUUACUUGGACAAGCAUACCACUUAUGAUUAACCCCUCUCGCAAGCAUCCGCAACUAUGAAAGAAGAAUUAAGACAAAGUCUAACCAUAGCAUUAAACUAGUGGAUCCAAAUCAUCCCCUUACGAAGCAACACAUAAACUAGGGUUUAAGCUUCUGUCACUCUAGCAACCCAUCAUCUACUUACUACUUCCCAAUGCCUUCCUCUAGGACCAAAUAAUGGUGGAGUGUUAUGUAGUCGACGUUCAGAUAACACCACUAGAGGAAAAACAACAUACAAAACAUCAAAUUACCGAACGAAUACCAAAUUCACAUGACUACUAUUAGCAUGACGUAUCCCAUGUCCCCGGGAACAAAAGUAACUACUCACAAAGCAUAAUCAUAUUCAUGACCAGAGAGGUAAUGAGUAGCAUAAAUGAUGUGAACAUAAACUCUUCCACCAAGUAAUCCAACUAGCAUCAACUACAAAGAGUAAUUAACACUACUAACAACCUUACAAGUACCAAUCGGAGUCGCGAGACGGAGAUUGGUUACAAGUGAUGAACUAGGGUUUGGAGAUGAGAUGGUGUUGAUGAACAUGUUGAUGGUGAUGAGUCCCCUCCGAUGAGAGGAGUGUUGGUGAUGAUGAUGGCGACGAUUUCUCCCUCCGGGAGGGAAGUUUCCCCGGGAGGAUCGUCCUGCCGGAGCUCUAGAUUGGUUUUGCUCAAGUUCCGCCUCGUGGCGGCGGCGAAACCACGAAAAAGCUCCUCCUUGGUUUUUUCCUGGAUGAAACCCUUCAUAUAGGAGAAGAGGGGGGCCGGUGGGCCAGCAGGCUGCCCACAAGCCCUCAUGGCGUGGCCUGGGGGGUGGCCGCGCCGUGCAGGCUUGUGGCCACCCCGUGGCGCCCCUCUGGCGCUUCUUCGGCCCAGUAUUUUUUAGAAAUCCGGAAAAAAAAUCCUCGUUGAUUUUUACGGUGUCUGGAGUUGCGCAGAAUAGGUAUCUCAAACUUGCUCCACUUUCAGGCCAGAAUUCAAGUUGCCGACAUUCUCCCUCUUCAUGUAAACCUUGCAAAAUAAGAGAGAAAAGACAUAAGAAUUGUAUCGUGAAGUGAAAUAACAGCCCAAGAAGCGAUAAAUAUCAACAUGAAAACAUGAUGCAAAAUGGACGUAUCAACUCCCCCAAGCUUAGACCUCGCUUGUCCUCAAGCGAAAGCCUAGCUCAAUAAAUAUGUCCACAUGUUUAGGGAGAGAGGUGUCAACAAAACAAGAUACGAACAUGCAUGCAUCAUGAUCAUGAUCAGAACAGCAAUACCAACAUAUAAUCUCUCAUGCUAAAGUGAUAAUUCCUUCACAAAGGAAAGCAUGGAUCAAGAACCUUACCGAGAAGUAACAACCGAUAGCCUUUAGUCAUUGAAGCAAUUGCAAUUUAUCAGAACAUCAGAAAGAGUCAAAUAAGAGCUUGUAAAGCAAAUCCACAUACUCAAUCAUUCUUUCGUUCACUACAAUUGCUACAACUCACGUGGUACUCAUGAGAUCAAAGUUUCAGCUGGACACAGAGAAAGAUAGGGGCUUACAGUUUUGCCUCCCAACUGCUUGCCUCAAGGGUAAUGUCAACAAUAAUAACUCAUGAAUACUUACCUCCAAGUUGACAUAUGAAUAUAGAUCUUUCCCAAGCAUAUGACAUUAGCCAAGAUAAAGGCGAAAUAAGGAAUUGGUGAAGAUCACCAUGACUCUUUCAAGGACAAAAAGUAAAGGUACAAGAUAGGCCCUUCGUAGAGGGAAGCAUAGGUUGUCAUGCGCUUUUGAGGUUUGGAUGUGUGUCGUCUUAGUGCGAAGGAACGUCACUUUAUAUUGCCUGCUCUUAUAAAGAACUUUAUUAUGCAGUCUGUCGCUUUUAUCUCUUCCUCAUCACAGGUUCGUACAAAGCUUAUUUUCCACACACUAAUAGAUCAUACAUAUUAGAGAGAAAUUUUUAUUGCUUGCACCGAUGAAAACUUACUUGAGGGAUCUUAUUCAAUCCAUAGGUAGGUAUGGUGGACUCACAUGGCAAAACUGGGUUGAAGAUUUAUGGAUGCACAAGUAGUAUCUCUACUUGGUGCGGGAGUUUUGGCUAAUGUGAGGUGGAAGCAAUCAUCACAUGCUAAGGGAUCUCUAAUCAUAUAACAUUGUUCGGAGCCAAGCAAACACAAUUCAUUAUGUUGUCUUCCUUGUCCAACAUCUACUUCUAGGCAUGCAAUAGUUUAGUGAGUGUUCACAAUCAUAGAUGGUGUCAGAGAUGAUAUAUUUAUAUGUGAACCUCUCCUUCUUUAUCACUUCCUAUUAAUUGCAACCAUGACCAAGGUCUACGUUUGCCUACCCUCAACAAGUUUCAACCCUCAUUCUUUUUAUAUGUGAAGCCAUCACUUCCCAUAAGAUCAUUACAUGAUCUUUCAUGCUUUUUGUUCUUUUCUCACUCUUUUGAUCAUGGCAAGAGGCAAAGCCCUUCAACUAAGACACUCUUUAUUAUAUGGCUCACGAGCUCGAAUACAUCGGGGGUGACACAAAGCAAAACUCAAGACUAAAACACUAAGACUUUUAAUCUAUUAGAGAAAGAGAAAACUGAAAAGGAAAACUAAAACAAAGGUAAAGGCAAAAGAUGUGAUGGUGAUACGAUACCGGGGCAACUCCCCCAAGCUUGGCACAAGCCAAGGGGAUUGCCCAUACCCAUGUUUAGUUGUCUUCCUUUGGUGGUGAUGGUAGAGGAGUUGUUGCAACAUGGGCUUGAUCCUCCGUCUUCCAAGGCAUAGGUGCUCCGUCAUGGAAAGAUGAAUGAGUCUCCGGAAUCCUCAAACCUGCAGCCAACCGUAUUGCUUUAAAUCUAUACUCAUACUCAUAGUUUUGGUUCUGCAGGUCAUAGAUCUGGGCCUGGAGUUGAUCAAUCCUGUCAUAGAGCCUGGAGAGGUGCUUCCCAAUGUCAUUGGCAUCAAUCAUGUGCUUGCUGGUGAACUCCGUGAUCAUCAUGUGGUUGGCGUUGAGUCCACGCUCCACCAUCCCUUGGUACUUGAAGACUUGUUCCUCCAUUGCUUCAAUCCUCGUCUCCAUGCUUCCGGUCUUCUUGGGAACCUCAACAUCACGGAUGUGCAACAUCCCCUCAUGCAUCUCGAUAGAUUGAGGGUGUUGCAGCACUCCCCUGAGGUAGGGAUUGAUGACCUUCUCGAAGAUCUUGUCCUUCGGAGCUUUUGGGGGAGUCAUAGCGAUCUAGAUCUGCAACAAAAACAGGCUCGAAACAAAAAACAGAGGAAAUCUGCGUGAUGCAGGGGUCAGACCAAACGGGAGUAUAUAUAAUGAUUUUUUUCAGACCAGAAGGAGUACCCCGCACGAAAACGGAGUCCGGGAGGCGCACGAGGUGGCCACAAGCCCUCACGGCGCGGCCAGGGGGUGGGCCCGCACCAUGCAGGCUUGUCGCCUCCUCGCGCACUUUCCGUACUACUUCCAAUUUUUGUAUUUUUUUAAAUACUCCAAAACGGAGAAAAUUUCCUACUAGAAAAGUUUUGGACUCUAUUUUCUUACCGAAUCACAUACCUCUUCGUUUUCGGAGUCUGAAACAGGCUGAUAAAUGUCCCGUAGGUAUUCUUCCGGAGUUAUGGUAUCGAUAAUAUUGCUUUCAACAUUUAUGGGAGUACUUGAGAUAUAAUGCUUGAUUCUCUGCCCAUUUACAACUCUCGGACAAUUACCUUCCGUGUUGUUGAUCUUGAUAGCACCGAACGAUAUACUUCCUCAACAACAUAGGGACCUUCCCAUUUAGAGAGAAGGUUGCCUGCAAAGAAUCUUAAACGAGAGUUAUAUAGCAAGACAUAAUCACCUACAUUGAACUCACGCUUUUGUAUCCUCUUAUCAUGCCACCUCUUAACCUUCUCUUUGAACAACUUGGCAUUCUCAUAUGCCUGAGUUCUCCAUUCAUCAAGCGAGUUAAUGUCAAAUAAUCUCUUCUCACCGGCAAGUUUGAAAUCAAAGUUGAGCUCUUUGAUUGCCCAAUAACCUUUAUGCUCUAGCUUAAGAGGUAAAUGGCAUGCUUUACCGUACACCAUUUUUUACGGAGACAUGCCCAUGGGAUUCUUAUAGGCAGUUCUAUAAGCCCACAAUGCAUCAUCGAGCUUUUUAGACCAAUUCUUUCUAGACCUGUUGACAGUCUUUUGCAGAAUUAGUUUAAUCUAUCUGUUGCUUAGCUCUACCUGACCACUAGACUGAGGAUGGUAGGGAGACGCAAUUCUAUGGUUGACAUCGUACUUAGGAAGCGUUUUACGGAAGGCACCAUGAAUGAAGUGUGAACCACCGUCAGUCAUUAGAUAUCUAGGGACUCCAAAUCUAGGGAAAAUAACCUCUUUAAGCAUCCUGAUAGAAGUGUUGUCAUCAGCACUACUAGUGGGGAUAGCUUCUACCCACUUAGUGACGUAAUCAACAGCAACUAGGAUAUGAGUAUACCCAUUGGAUUUUGGAAAAGGUCCCAUAUAAUCAAAGCCCCAAACAUCAAAUGGUUCAAUGACAAGUGAAUAGUUCAUAGGCAUUUCCCGACGUUUGCUAAUAUUACCUAUUCUUUGACAUUCAUCACAAGACAAGACAAACUACGGGCAUCCUUUGAGAGAGUGGGCCAACAGAGACCUGAUUGCAAUACCUUGUGUGCAGUUCUAUCUCCCGCAUGGUGUCCUCCGUAGGCCUCGGAGUGACACUUCUGUAGGAUCUGUCCCUGUUCAUGUUCAGGUACAAAACGUCUAAUAACACCAUCUAAUCCUUCCUUAUAAAGGUGAGGAUCAUCCCAAAAGUAAUGUCUCAAGUCAAAGAAUAAUUUCUUCUUUUGCUGGUACAUGAAACUAGGUGGUAUAUAUUUGGCAACGAUAUAGUUUGCAUAAUCAGCAUAUCAUGGUGCACUACGUGAAGCGUUGAUGACAUUCAGUUGCUCAUCGGGUAAGCUAUCAUCAAUAGGUUGUGGGUCAUCAAGAACGUUCUCCAACCUAGACAAGUUAUCUGCUACGGGGUUAUCAGCACCCUUUCUGUCAACAACGUGCAAAUCAAAUUCUUGUAUCAAGAGAACCCAUCUGAUAAGUCUAGGUUUAGCGUCUUUCUUCUCCAUGAGGUACUUAAUAGCAGCAUGAUCAGUGUGAAUAGUGACUUUGGAGUCAACUAUGUAAGACCUGAACUUUUCACAUGCAAACACGACUGCUAAAAAUUCCUUCUCUGUAGUAGCAUAGUUUCUCUGGGCACUGUCUAGAGUUUUACUAGCGUAGUGAAUAACAUUCAACUUCUUAUCGACUCUUUGCCCUAGAACAGCACCAACAGCAUAAUUACUAGCAUCACACAUGAUUUCAAAAGGUAAGUUCCAAUCAGGUGGUUGAACAAUAGGUACAGUUAUCAAAGCCCUCUUAAGUAUUUCGAAGGCUUCCUCACAAUCAUCGUCAAAAACAAAAGGAAUAUCCUUUUUCAAGAGAUUGGUAAGAGGCCUAGAAAUCUUAGAGAAGUCUUUAAUGAACCUUUUAUAGAAACCAGCAUGACCAAGGAAACUUCUUAUACCUUUGAUAUCUGUGGGAUAUGGCAUUUUCUCGAUUGCAUCAACCUUAGCCUUAUCGACUUCAAUACCUCUUUCAGAAAUUUUAUGUCCUAAGACGAUGCCUUCAUUAACCAUAAAGUGGCACUUCUCCUUAUUCAAGACAAGAUUGGUGUCUUUACAUCUCUGUAAGACUCAAUCAAGGUUGUUGAGACAAUCAUCAAAAGAAGACCCGUAAACGGAAAAGUCAUCCAUGAAAACCUCGACAAUCUUUUCAUAAAAGUCAGAGAAUAUAGCCAUCAUACAUCUUUGAAAGGUGGCAGGUGCAUUACAUAAGCCAAAAGGCAUAUGUCUAUAAGCAAAGGUACCGAAAGGGCGGGUGAAAGUGGUUUUCUCCUGAUCAGUUUGUGCAAGUGGUAUUUGGGAGAAACCAGAAUAACCGUCUAGAAAGCAGAAGUGUGUGUGUUUAGGCAGCCUUUCUAGCAUUUGGUCGAUAAAAGACAGAGGGUAAUGAUCUUUCCUAGUGGCUUUAUUCAGUUUCCUGAAAUCGAUCACCAUCCUAUAGCCAGUAAUAAUCCUCUGUGGGAUCAAUUCAUCCUUAUCAUUAGGGACAACGGUAAUGCCUCCCUUCUUAGGGACGCAAUGCAUCGGACUCACCCAAUCGCUAUGAGCAACAGGAUAGAUAAUACCCGCUUCCAGGAGAUUUAGUAUUUCUUUUCUUACUACUUCUUUCAUCUUAGGAUUUAAUCUCCUUUGAUGAUCAGCAACUGGUUUGAAGUCAGGAUCAUUUUUAAUCUUGUGCAGGCCUAGAGUGGGACUAAUGCCCUUAAAUCAUCAAGAGUAUAUCCAAUAGCAGCACGGUGAUUCCUCGGAGUUUUUAGUAACUUCUUUUCUUCAUGCUCUGAGAGGCUAGCACUAAUUAUGACAGGAUAUAUCUCCUUUUCAUCAAGAUAAGCAUACUUAAGAGUAUCUGGCAACUGUUUAAGCUCGAGCACAGCAUCACCCUUUGGUGGGGGUGGAUCCCCAAGCAGUUCAGCAGGCAAGAUAUUCCUAAGGAUAGGAUAUUGUUCUAAGACAACUCUAUCUAUCUCAUCCCUUACAUCCAUAUGCAUAUCAUUUUCAUGCUCAAGCAAGUAUUGCUCUAAGGGAUCAGUAGGAGGCACGGCAAUAGAAGCUAAGGCAAUAGUUUCAUCCUUACUAGGCAACUCCUUUUCAUGAGUUUUUCUACCAAACUUGGAGAAAUUGAACUCAUGUGACACUCCUUCAAAGCCCACAGUGACAGUUUGCUUCUCACAGUCAAUAUGAGCAUUGACGGUAUUGAGGAAGGGUCUGCCAAAUAUGAUGGGACAAAAUCUAUGUUGUGCGGUAGAAAGAACGAGGAAAUCAGAAGGAUACUUCGUUUUACCACACAAGACUUCAACAUCCCUAACAAUUCCCAUAGGGCAGAUAGUAUCUCUAUUGGCAAGCUGAAUAGUGACAUCAAUAUGCUCUAUCUCAACAGGUGCAAUCUCGUCUUUGAUUUCAUCAUAUAAGGAUUGAGGUAUUGCACUAACACUAGCACCUACGUCACAUAAACCAUGAUAACAAUGAUCUCCUAUCUUAAUAGAAACCACAGGCAUGCCAACAACAGGCGGCCUAUGUUUGUCUCUAGCAUGAGGUUUAGCAAUUCUAGCAGCAUCUUCACAGAAGUGAAUAUCAUGUCCCUCAACAUCGUCGGACAGAAGAUCUUUGAUGAUAGCAAUGCUAGGUUCAACUCUAAUUUGCUCAGGGGGUGUAGGUGUUCUAAUGUAGCCUCUACGUAUCACAGUUGAAGCUUUAGAAUGAUCCUUUAUCCUAACAGGGAAAGGUGGUUUCUAAAUGUAAGCACUGGGAACCACAGGAUCAUUAUAGGCAAUGACUUUCUCUUCAACUGGAGUGGGUUUAACUACAUUGACUUCUAAAGUAGGAUGAUAUUUAAACCACUUCUCUUUGGGGAUAUCAACAUGAGCAGCAAAGGAUUCACACAAUGAAGCUACUAUUUCAGAGUCAAGUCCAUACUUAGCGCUAAAGUCACUAAAAGUAUUUGUCUCAACAAAGGAUUUAACGCAAUCAAAAGUGAAAUUCAUACCUGACUCCUUACCUUCUUCAAGCUCCCAAUCUUCAGAGUUGCGUUUAAUUCUCUCCAAUAAAUUCCAUUUGAAGUCAAUAUCUCUCUUCAUAAAAGAACUGGUACAAGAAGUGUCAAGCAUGGUGCGAUCAUCAUGAGAAAGUCGAGCAUAGAAGUUCUGAAUGAUAAUUUCUCUCGAGAGCUCAUGAUUGGGGCAUGAAUAUAGCACCGAUUUAAGACUCCCUCAAGCUUGAGCGAUGCUUUCUCUGUCAUGAGGCCAAAAAUUAUAAAUAUAAUUCCAAUCACGAUGUACUAAAUGCAUAGGAUAAAACUUUUGAUGAAAUUCCAAUUUCAACCGAUUGUAGUCCCAUGAUCCAGUAUCAUCACAUAGCCUAUACCAUGUCAACGCCUUAUCCUUCAAAGAUAAAGGAAAGACCUUCUUCUUGACCUCAUCCUCGGGCAAACCUGCAAGCUUAAAUAAACCACAAACUUCAUCUACAUAGAUUAGAUGCAAGUCUUAAUGUGAUAUUCCAUCUCGUGUAAAAGGAUUAGCCAGCAAUUUCUCAAGCAUACCCGAAGGAAAUUCAAAGCAAAUAUUUUCAGUAGGUGCAGAAGGUUGAGGAGAAACACUUUGUGCUUCCGUUCGAGGUGAAGAUACCCCGAACAAGCCCCUCAAAGGAUUAGUAUCCAUAGUGACAAGUGACAAUAAAUUUCAGCACACUAUAUGAAUGUUUCCUUACCAAGUUCCACUUACAAAAGGCGCUUCACUCCCCGGCAACGGCACCAGAAAAGAGUCUUGAUGACCCACAAGUAUAGGGGAUCUAUCGUAGUCCUUUUGAUAAGUAAGAGUGUCGAACCCAACGAGGAGCAGAAGGAUCUGACAAGUGGUUUUCAGCAAGGUAAAAUCUGCGGGCACUGAAAUUGUCGGUAACAAGUGAUUGUGUGGUGAGAUAAUUCGUAGCAAGCAACAUGUAACAAAAGUAGCAACGGUGCAGAAAAGUGUCCCAAUCCCUUUUGUAGCAAGGGACAAGCCUGGACAAAGUCUUAUAGGAGGAAAAACGCUCCCGAGGACACACGAGAAUUUCUGUCAUGCUAGUUUUCAUCAUGUUCAUAUGAUUCGCGUUCGUUACUUUGAUAGUUUGAUAUGUGAGUGGACCAGCACUUGGGUACUGCCCUUACUUGGACAAGCAUCCCACUUAUGAUUAACCCCUCUCGCAAGCAUCUGCAACUACGAAAGAAGAAUUAAGACAAAGUCUAACCACAUCAUUAAACUAGUGGAUCCAAAUCAGCCCCUUACGAAGCAACGCAUAAACUAGGGUUUAAGCUUCUGUCACUCUAGCAACCCAUCAUCUACUUACUACUUCCCAAUGCCUUCCUUUAGGCCCAAAUAAUGGUGAAGUGUUGUGUAGUCAACGUUCACAUAACACCACUAGAGUAAAAACAACAUACAACACAUCAAAUUACAGAACGAAUACCAAAUUCACAUGACUACUAUUAGCAUGACUUAUCCCAUGUCCUCAGGAACAAAAGUAACUACUCACAAAGCAUAAUCAUAUUCAUGACCAGAGAGGUAAUGAGUAGCAUCAAGGAUCUAAACAUAAACUCUUCCACCAAGUAAUCCAACUUGCAUCAACUACAAAGAGUAAUUAACACUACUAGCAACCUUACAAGUACCAAUUGGAGUCGCGAGACGGAGAUUGGUUACAAGUGAUGAACUAGGGUUUGGAGAUGAGAUGGUGCUAAUGAACAUGUUGAUGGUGAUGAGUCCCCUCCGAUGAGAGGAGUGUUCGUGAUGAUGAUGGCGAUGAUUUCCCCCUCCGGGAGGGAAGUUUCCCCAGUAGGAUCGUCCUGCCGGAGCUCUAGAUUGGUUCUGCUCAAGUUCCGCCUCGUGGCGGCGGCGAAACCCUUCAUAUAGCAGAAGAGGGGGGCCAGUAGGCCAGCAGGCUGCCCACAAGCCCUCAUGGCGCGGCCUGGGGGGUGGCCGCGUCAUGCAGGAUUGUGGCCACCCCCUCGUGGCCCUCUGGCGCUUCUUCGGCCCAGUAUUUUUUAUAAAUCCGGAAAAAAUCCUCGUUGAUUUUUUACGGUGUUUGGAGUUGCAUAGAAUAGGUAUCUCAAACUUGCUCCACUUUUAGGCCAGAAUUCCAGUUGCCGACAUUCUCCCUCUUCAUGUAAACCUUGCAAAAUAAGAGAGAAAAGGCAUAAGAAUUGUAUCGUGAAGUGAAAUAACAGCCCAAGAAGCGAUAAAUAUCAACAUGAAAACAUGAUCCAAAAUGGACGUAUCAGCGUUCCCUCCAUAUCCCCUUCAGUUGCUGGUUGCAUGGGUGCGUGCCCGGCGGCUCCGACUCUUGGAGCUUGUCGGGCGGCGCGGGUGAUACGUCUCAAUCGUAUCGACUUUUUAAACACUUUUGCUAUUGUUUUGGCCUCAUUCUUGCAUUAUUUGAAUGAAACUAACCCGGACUGACGCUGUUUUCAGCAGAGCUGUCUAUGUGGUUUUCUUGUGUGCAGGAAAAUGGAUUUUUAGGCGUCCCGGAAAAUUCCAAUAAAAAAUAGAGAAAAUCCACGCACCGGGAGGAACCCUGGGCCAUAAGAUGGGUCGGAGGGGGCCACCAGGCCUCUAGGCGACCUGUGGGCGCGGCCUGCCCCCUGGCCGUGCCGAAAGGCUGCCUGGGUGGGGGCACACCUCCUUUGGUGUCCUACCUUGGCUCCUAUUUUUACCCGUGAUGGAGAAAUCCCAGAAUAGAAGUCGGUUUGCAAGUUCUCGAUGCGGAGCCGCCGCCACCCUCGGUUCUUCUCCGAGAGAGCUAAUCUGGAGGCUGCCUUGGCCUCCAGAGAGGGGAAAUCGUCGUUGUUGUCAUCAUCAUCAGCACUCCAUCACCCUUCCAUGGCUUCCCCCAUCAUGUGUGAUUAAUUCCCUGUUGUAGGUGAAGCGGGUGUUAGGGAUUGGAUGAGUUAAAUCAUGUAAUAGUUAGUCGGAUUGUUGGGGGCAUGUUGCCUAUCAUCUACUAUGGUGUUUAUCAUCUUUGCUACUACUUGUUACUCUUAAUGCUUGUCACUUAGGGCCCGAGUGGCAUGAUUUCAGAUCUGAAUACCUUAUGUUUUCAUGAAUAUAUUUGUGUUCUUGAUCCUAUCUAUGAGUAGUAUGCACCUAUUAUAGUCCGGAGCUGGCGAUCCUAAUGGUGACAGCUAGGGACACCAAAGGGGAUAGACUAUGAUAUGAGGAUUCCAUGUAUCCAUUGAUUGUUAAUGCUUUGUUCCGGUGCUCUUUGAUAGGAGCACCUUAAUCUCGAUAAGUUCCUUUUGGCCCCGUUGGUAGCGGGAUGGUAGGACAAAAGAUGUUGUGCAAGUUCUUAUUACAAGCACGCACGACUACCUUGGGAUACAUGCCUAAUGUUUGCUAUUUGCCUAGAUGAUCAUUACUUUCCUAUGUGCCUUUCCCCAUGUUAAAUACAUGAUAUCUCUCAUCCAUGACCGACCAUCUAUCUCCCUAGCCUACAGUGUUUUAAUCCUGCUGGUUACAAGUUGCUUUACUUUUGCUGUUUUACUUUCGUUGCUUUGCCACCAUUAUUUCCGUUGCCACCAUCACUUCCAUAUCACCGUUGCUACUAAUAUUUCGUUGCCAAGCAAGUAUCUUUCAGGUGCGGUUGAGUUGACAACUCAACUAUUAAAGCUUAUAAAUAUUCUUUGGCUCCCCUUGUGUCGAAUCAAUAAAUUGGGUUAUCUUACCCAUGAAGAAUGUUGCGAUCCCCUACACUUGUGGGUUAUCAGCGGGCUGGGUAGUGGCCUGGUGUGGGUGUUUCUCUGGCCGUGGAUGGCUCCCCGACAGCUUGGCAGGUCGGUUGCCGUGGAGGCUGGCGUGUUCCAGCGUCAGCUCGUCCGUAGGCGACACGUGUCGGCCUUUGAUACCUCUCCUCGUCGUUCGAGAACUACCCUUGUCAAAGUGUUGGACCUUUUCCAACUGAUGGCCAUUGCUCGUCUCGCGCUCAUGGUUCCGCGGGACUAAGCUCGUCUCGUGCCCGACUGCAGGACUGUGCUUGUAUCACGCCAUGGGCUACAGGACGGGUCGACAGAGGCCAGUAUGGCCGGACUAUUGGGUCUCGGCCCUGGGGCCACCCAGGGGUGCGAAAGGUGUGACCUUUCCGCUCGUCUCUUUGGUUGGGGUAGCGGUGGAUCUUGGGUGAAGUGGUGUAAGGUCUUGUAUGUUGGGGCGGCAGCACUGGUGGUGGUAGCACGAUGCUCAUGGGCAUAACCCACAUGGCUUGGUGCUGCCCGAUGACCAUGGUCGUGUGGGCAGAAUGGUUGCUGGUAUGUGUCGUUCGAUGGCGGUGAUUGUCGGCCGGGGUGUAAACAUGUUCUAUCUUCGAUCAGACCGGCAGUGACAAAGCUAGUUCCCUUCUUGAAGGCAUCGUCGUGGCUCUCAUUGUUCAUCGUGUUUCUCCAGGGGAAACUUUGGUUCGAGGAUCACGCGGUGGCUGGUUUCCGAUGUCGUAACCUUCUUGAAAGCACCGCCUUGGAGCCCAUGGUUUGCCAUAUGUGGCUUCAUAUCUUCACAAUGGUGUGUUCAUGGUUGAAGCCCCCGGUUGCUCUCGUAGUGCUAGGGGUGGUAUUGUUGCGGUCUGCGCCUAUGUAUCCUACCUUGGAUGUGUGAGUGUGUUGUGGCGACGUGUGUAUGUACCUGGUUGCUGAUCAUCGUUGCUUUACAUAUAAAGCGGGGUGAAAGCCUUUUUUGGUAAAACAAGAAGUAUACCUUCAAUUCAAGCAUGUGUGAUCAAAUAUUUGAUUUAUUGCUAAAAAUAAUUACAAUAGAAUUCUUGAUCACCAUGUCAAGCCAUAAAUCCAAGGACGAAUGUAUUGUAAGUUGCAUGAUCCGUCCAAGCAUAAUUUUGAGGAUUGCAACAUGUUUUGUCAAAGAGUUAAAUCGGCCAUUGAUAAAGGACGACUAAAAUUUGUUGAAACACCAAAGGAUGACCGGUCUAUUCCUAUUGGUCCUAAUGGCAAACAAUUUUUGCAUCGGCUGCUUCAAGUCAAACAAUUUAAACAUGAGAAGCUAAAAACUAUGGAUAGUGGGAUCAAGAUUUCAAGUAAGGAAGUUGUUAAAGUGCACAAUGAUAAUACUUGAGGGCAAAACUUCCAUCAAAAUUACAAUGAAGACGUCAACUACUCGGGGCCAACAAGAAAAAUCCCAAGAUUGAUGCGAGCACAACCAUAGAAAGCAAAGACCGAGGCAAGCACAAAGGUAGAAAGUUCAAAGUCACGUUCGUGCAACUGUUGGAAAAAUAUCAAAAUAUAAGUGAGGAUAAGAGUGCUUGUCGGCCAAGUAAUUCAAAAUCAUCAAGAUCACCCCUGAAAGGACGUGGAUGUCCCCUAGAGGGGGUGUGAAUAGACACUUUAAAAUAAUUAUGAUUUUGGCUUGAACAAAUGCGGAAUAAAACUAACGUUUAAUUAGUCAAGCAUAGAACAUAAAACAACUUGGCUCACCUAUGUGCAAUAACAACUUAUGCUAAGCAAGCUAAACAACUAAGUGAUAGCAAGAUAUAUAACAAGAAACAAUAUGGCUAUCACAAAGUAAAGUGCAUAAGGGCUCGGGUAAGAGAUAAUCGAGGCAUGGAGAGACGAUGAUGUAUCCUGAAGUUCACACCCUUGUGGAUGCUAAUAUUCGUUCGGAGUGGUGUGGAGGCACAAUUCUCCCCAAGAAUCCACUAGGGCCACCGUAAUCUCCUCACGCCGUCACACAAUGCAAGAUGUUGUGAUUCCACUAAGGGAACCUUGAGGGUGGUCACCGAAGCCGUACAAACAAGGUUGGAGAAAUCUCCACAACUUAAUUGGAGCCUCCCAACAUGACCACGAAGCUUCACCACAACGGAUUGUGGCUCCAAGGUGACCUCAAAUGCUCGAGGCAAUGUCCACAACCUAAUUAGAUACCGCGCCGAUUUCCCGGAGCUUUACACCAUAAUGAUUGAGUUCUGAGGCACCACCAGCCAUGUAGGGCGCCAAAGCACCCAAGAGGAACAAGCUCUAGGGUACCAAGCAUCCAAGAUUAAUAAGCUUCUCAACUUUUCGCUUCCACGUAUCACAAUGGAGAACUUAAACUGAUGCACUAAAUGCAAUGGCAAGGAAACACGGAGUGCCCAAGUCCUUCUCUCUCAAAUCCCACCACAACAACUAAUGCUAUGGAAGAAAGUGAGAGGAAGAACGAAGAAGAACACGAAGAACUCCAAGAUAUAGAUCCAAGGGGUUCCCCUCACAAAGACAAGAAGGUGAUUGGUGGAAGUGUGGACCAAGAUAUUCUCUCUCUUUUCCCUAAAGAACUAGCAAGAAUCAUUGGAAGGAUUGAGAGUUAGCAAGCUCGAAGAAGGUCAACAAUUGGGUAAGAACACGAGCUCAAGUGAUGGGGAACCAUUAGGGAAGAAGACCCCCUUAAAUAGGUCCCCCUUAAUCCAGCCAUUAUGUGCACAGGUCGUGCACAAGUGGUACUACCGCUCGGCUAAGCGGUACUACCUCUUGGCGUAGUGGUUCUAGGAAAAGUGUGCAAAAUAGCCGAAUCUUUGAGGCGGUAGUGCCGUUGGAGCGGUACUACCGGCCUACCCCGUGGUACUGCCGUCGGGGAUGCACUAAGAAUCCAGUGCCCAAAAAUAAGCGGUAGUAGCAGUGGUACUAGAGAGCGGUAGUACCAAGCGGGUGGUACUACCGCCCUACUACCGUGCUAUUGUCGUGAGUGAAGAGCAGACCAAGAGAACCACAAAAUAAGCGGUGGUAUCAGUGGUAGUACAUAGCGGAAGUACCGCCUAAGCGGUACUACUAUGGUACCGAGCGGUACUACCGCCUCAGCAGUGAAAACUGUCCUGAGAAAUGAAACUGCCAUAACUUUCGCGUACGAGCUCUGAAUUGAGCAAACUCAAGCUUGUUGGAUUCUGGAAGGCAAGAUUUAUCUUAAGAAGAGGCAUUUAUGAAAACAAUAAUAUAGAGAUCUGAAACCUCUAUGAUUGAAGACCGACAAAAGCUCCAACAUCAAAAACAUCAUGCUAGAUGCAUAUGGACUCCGUUUUCGAUGAAAUUGAGCUUGUCAUGAAGAUGACCAUAAGCUCGAGAACCUACAUAGAGAAAAACUAUCCAAGAACCAAGAAAUAUGGUGAUGCCAAUAAUGCAAUGGUUUGAGCUCUGAACAAACGAUAUGAUCUAGCUACUCACCUGAGAGCCCCCCUUGAUAGUAUGGAAAUCGGUCCUAUAACUCGGUCUCCCAACUACCACCAUGAGACCGUUAAAAUAGAAAACCUAUCAAGGGCAAACCUUUGCCUUGCGCAUAGUCCACCUGAACUAGAUGGUGAUGAUUUUGUCUUUCUCAAGACGGACCACCUUUCUUGAUUGCGUCGGCUCCGUGAAGGCUAGUAGAUUGCUCCCCCAUACUCCACUAUGGGUGAGCCACUCUUCAGCACAUCUUCACAAGCCCAUUGCCACCACAAUGGAUGGCAAGCUUCAAGCAUGAUAUCUUCAUGAUGCUCCACUUGAACUUGCACACCGUAAUCUUCCAUGGGUUGAAUCAUAUCUUCAUCCUGACGCAAGCCCACAUAGAACUCUCAGGAAGACCAUGGGUUAAUACACAAAGUGUAAUGGAGAAUUCUUAUCAUACCAUGGCAUCACUUGAUCCCUCUUGGUACAACUUGUACGCUUUGUGUGUUGAUCAACUUGAUUCACUCUUUAACUUAGUCUUGAUCAACCUUGUGUCUUUAUGACCAAUCUUUGGAUAAAACCUUGAAUACCACCCUGGUCACUGUAUAAACUCCUUGAAACCAAUAGAUUGACUUCAAGAACUGCAUAUGGAUAGAUCAUUCAAAUAUAACUUAAGGCAACCAUUAGUCCAUAGGGAUUGUCAUCAAUUACCAAAACCACACAUGGAGAAAUAUGUUCUAACAAUCUCCCCAUUUUGAUAAUGGAUGACAACCAUUUUUAAGAGAGUUUAUAUACGUAAAUAAUCACAACCAAGCACACACAUGCAAAGCAAUAAUGCAUGGGUAUGAGAUGCAAAUGCUUAAGCAACAAAAGCAAAACUAUGUUAACUUUUAAAACUAAACUCUCUAAACUUUCAUGUGAUAUUUCGGAGUUGUGGAAAGGACUGAAGAGACUUUAUUUCCAUUCAUAGAAAUAAGUAGAGCUUGAAAUCAAGAGUGAUGAUCAUUCUAGGACAUGUUUUUUCAUGGUUUCAACCUAUAAAUUGUUACAAGAACUUCCACUUUUUCACUUGUGAAAAGGAAAACACAAUUUUUCAUUAUUUUCUUGACACGCCUCUUAUCAAUGAAAAGACUCAUGCUAUCUUAUUAUCUAUUACAUUGUAGCUAAAACAUGUGAAUUUUUCUAGGGUCAACUUAUUUGAGCUUCUUUUCCUUUUUAGCAAUAGACUAUGGUGACCGUACCACCAGGAAUUGGUAUGCUUCAGCAGUUAUUUGUCUAUGUAGGAAACACAGACAACUCAUGUUGAUUUCUAUUCAGACUUAGAGAUGGACCAUAUUAACACACAUUAUUUUUAUGAGGCAGAGGUCAAUGGGGCCACGCUAGAGGAGCGGCAGGACCAUGCGGAUGUGAACGCCAAUGAGAGGCAGGCGGCGAUGUAAUGGAAACAGGCACGACGGGGACAAUAGGAAACUUGAUGAUCCUUUGGCGAUAGCGGAUGCACCAAAAAUUGAGGAGGGUGUUAUUGCGAGGAGGCAGUGAUAGUGAAGUGGCGACAGAUUUUCCAUUACCUCUGUCGUACGUGUCUCCAAGGGAGCACUGUGUCUACUCCUGCAAUGGGGAGAGACUAGAAUCGAAUCUACCUUUAGGUGAGAUCGUGGGAUCAACCUAAACUAUUUAUAUUUAGAACAUUACAAAAACUAAAAUUAUUUGACAACAAACCUAUGUUGUAUGUCUACAACUUCAAAAAUAACUAGCUCAAAUCUCGAUAUACAAUUACAUUUACAAAAUGAAAAAUUGAAUUGUGUAUAGUGUCAGUUGUGGGUGAAUGGUAUUUGACACUAUUCCAAGCUUACAUUAUAAUGCAGUUUAUCCCAAAGAUACGAUUUUCAUCAUGUGUCUGUUGUAGCCAAGCCCAUACAUCCCCUCCUGCCCUUAGUAAUUUUGACGCCCCAUAUUUUAAUUUUGAACCCUAAAAUGUUGUACUCAGUUGGCACCCCAGAUAUGUUACACUCUUAGUAUUCAGUUUGAAUUAUAAGCAGGCAUGAUGCUCAAUGUUGUACCAACGAACAUCAGGGCGUGUACUUAGUUCCGACUAAGAAAGUUCAGGUUGGCUAUUUUCCUUUUUUACACACAUCAUAGUGAGUAGCUGCAAAAGAGUUCUAUCCUUUUGAGAUUUGUGGAAGAUAAGGUACCAUCAAUAAUCUCGCAUAAUAUGAUACGGAUAUCUUCAAGCAUGUGGCUAUCCCAUGAUCUUGAGUUGUAUUACUAAAGCAUGGAUCUUUAUGUAUAAGUGUAAAAAUGUCCUAUAGUUAAUUUUUUUGUAUCAUUUUAAGUUUCGCAUUUGUUGCCUUUACCUAAUGAUAACCCAUUAGCAAAUAAAAGUAAGUACUUUGUUCCUUAUUUUAGCACCUAAUUUACAUGUGUUAUGUUGUUAAUAGUACCAUUUUGUUUAGUUUUCAUCCCCUUUUGAUUCCGCAUACCUUGUUUCUAAUUAUUUAAGUUCAGAUUGUCCCUUCAAACGCAACGAGUCAAGUCUAGGUUAUGGUAGCAUAAUGCGUCCACUCCUAACAUGAGAUUAAAUUCUUCUAAUUUCAGGUAGGAAACUAUCAUGGUUAUCAUUUUACUCUUUGGAUGUUGCACAAAUGCUUGAACAAUUUCAUCCCCUUUUAGAUUUCAGUGUUGUGGUUGCAAAAGCUUUCUUGGAAAUGUCUUAUUGAGUUGCCAUUUUUGGAUUACAUGGACUGGUGAACCACAAAUGUGCGACAUAGGGCUUUGAGUAGACAUCGGCUCCAUGGUUCCAUUCUGCAAGAUGUGGCUUGGAUUGUCGUGCUACUAAAAAAACCAAUGGUGGUCAUGCUUGGUUUUGAAAUUGGGAAGAUUUAAUUCAAGAUUUUAAUAUUUUCCUGUUUUUGUAUGGACAAUGUGUGUGUCGUUUAUGAAAUGUUUAGCUAUGUUUGGUAGAUGAAUACAAACUCUUUUCUAUCCACAUUUACCAUGAAGAAUGAAACACACAUGAGUUGGCUCACUUGAGUUCCUAUGCUAACUGAUAAUCCAUGGAGUCUCUUAUUCAGAAUGCUAUACAUUUUUGUUUUAGGGUCAUAUUGACUAGCAUUUAAGUAAUGUCGGACCAUGUCAAAUGAUGGUAGUGUGAAGCGGAUAUUACUUCUAUUUUAUUACGUCAAAUGUGAAGCUUAUGCAAGGAGAUACCAUUUUAGGUACUUUGCAUCAGAAUGCAAGAGGUCUACUUUUGCAUUAAUAAGAGGGGAAUAAUGCAAGUCUACUACAGAGCUUAGAUGGACAAAGAAAGAAAACUAAACUUAUGAUUUAAUUUUGAUACUCUCUAACAAGUUUGUGAAGUGCUGAGUUAACUUUCUAGAGUACAUGUAGGGUCACAAUUAUCAUUAUGUGGAUUGGAACAGACAGCUUCAAGUAUCCAAAAUUUAAACUCAAAUUAGACAUGUAUUACACUUGCACCCUUACUAGUGAAAUAAACUCAAUGAGAUGAUUAGUACUCUCAUAUUGUUUUGUCUAAUCGUCGGAAGUAUGAGUUUUACUUCGGUACAACACUCCUCACUAAAAAAAUUCCAACUCCUAUACGCGUACGUUUUCCAUCUCCUAUUUCCGAUCCAUUUACUUCCUUUUCUAACUAGGGAAUAUUUGGCGGCAAAUGAGAAUCGAACCCCAAACCUCAUCCUUAUAUUCCAGCCAUGCUAACCAUCUUUUUCUUAGACAAUGUCGCGAAGCUUUAUUUAACUGUGACCAAUGUUUACAUGAGUGAAUGCAAAUCACCGGGAUUUCCUAACCACACAUGACGGCCAACCCCUAACCUAAUAACAUGCUUCGCUAAAUUGUGAGCCUCAAAAUUCAAGCUCCUAAACUCAUGAACAAAGUGCAGGAUAUAAAUGAGUUUUUAUGGUAUAUAAUCUCAUGUAAUAUAGCUCCAUAGCUUGGCGGAUUCCCUUGCUUGAUAUCAUCCACCACCACCUUGCAAUUUGAAGCCACAUAUAUGUUUUGCACAUUGAGAUCUUCUGCUAGGGCUAAGGCCUCGCACGCCGUUAAUGCUUCAAGUGUUGUUGGGUCAUUUAUAACUUUGAAGACAAUAGCUGACACCCCUUGGAAUAUUCCAAUUGUGAUCACGACAUAUGGCUACAGCAACCCCUCGUCUCUGGUUUGGUGAAACAGCAACAUCAACAUUAACCUUGAAAACGAGUGUAGGCGGAGGGACCCAUUGGGACAGCCGGGCCACUUGUGGCCUCGAUGGAGUGUUCCCAUGAUCCUUUAUCACAUGUAAAUCUGAGAUGUAAGACUGGACAAAGAGAUUAACAAAUUGUGGGCUUUGGAACUCUUCCUAAUAUAUGGCUUUUCGUCGCGUCCUCUGCACCGCCCAGAGAGUGACAAUCAUUAGAACAAAGUCCUCUUGUGGUAGCUCCUCAUGCAUUGAAAAUAGCUUGUUUCUUGCAUUAGGGUCCAUGUUUAGACUCAUCUUCUCGACUAGAUCGUCCUUUGCGAGCGCCCAAAUACAUCUCGACAUGGUGCACUCCAAGAGUGCAUGUCUCCACAAAUCCUCUCGUUCACACAAGACACAAACCUUUGAGGUGGCCAUGUGACGGUGGCAUAGCAGGUCCAUCGUUGGCAUUGGAUUUUGAGCCAGGGGCCAUAAGAACACCAUCAGUUUUGAGGGGACCUGAAUAUACCAUAGCCUCGUCUGUUCUUUGCUCGUUGUACCUGGUCCUAACUCUCCUCCAAUUCUUCUAUACAAUUCUCCUGGUGCUCGCAUGUGUUAAUCACCAUGCGGUAUGCCGAACAGACCGAGAAAGUCCCAUUCCUCUCGGUCGACCAUGCCUAGAUAUCGUCCACAUUCCUUGUGCAUAACGGUAGCGACAUGAUAGUGUCCGCAUCAAAAGGUAAGAAUGUGGCUCUUACGAAGUCUUCCUUCCAUAUUGUUGUGGUUCCAUCGAUCAGCUCUGACACCAAGGUUGGGUGGUCACUUGUGAGAGCUGUAAUUGGCCGCAAGGGUCUCAUCCUAGGUAACCAAUUUGUAUCCCAAAUAUUGGUAGUUUGCCCAUUUCCUAUACACUUGAUGACCCCUUGUUUCAGAAUUUCUCUACCAUCAAGGAUAGCUCUCCAAAUCUAUGAUGGGUGGCUUCCAAGUUCCCCCUCCAGAAAAUUUGUGUUUGGGAAGUAAGCAGCCUUGAGACUUUUUGCACUAACAGAAAUUGGCUCCAUCAGCAGUCUCCAUGCCUGUCGGGCUAGGAAGGCGAGAUUAAAAACCUCCAAGUCCCUAAAAUGCAUUCUGCCAAGGUAUUUAGGCUUUGUCAUAACAUCCCAGGAGACCCAAGUUGGUUUCCAUUUGCCUCAUUUGCUUCCCCACUAGAAUUGCAGAAUAAUAGAUGUAAUAUGUUCACAUAGCCCCCAUGGCAACCUGAAACAAGACAUAGAUUAAACUGGUAUGGCUUGGGCCACUGAUUUCAUAAGGACUUCCUUCCCUAGAGCCGCAAGGAGCUUCUCCAUCCACCCUUUCACCUUUUCCCAAACUCUAUCUCUUAAGUAUUUAAAAGUCCACAUCUUUGAAUGACCGAGAUUUAUUGGCAUUCCCAAAUAUAUGUCACUCAGAGCUUCAUUAGUAACAUUUAGAGUGCUUUUGAUGUUAUCUCUCAAAGAUUGUGGGCAACCCUUGCUAAAGAAAUUCAUCGAUUUGGCAUGAUUGAUUAUUUUUCUCGAAGCAUUACAAUAAUUAUCCAAGAGGUUUGAAACCAUGGCAGCUCCCUCAUCACUAGACUUGAACAACAACAGGCUAUCAUCGGUAAAAAGGAGAUGGUUAAUAGCUGGAGCUGUCGGUGCCACCUUGAUCCCUUCCAGGACUAACCAUUGAGAACAGUAUUUCAAAAGGCACAAGAGGCCCUCUGCUGCGAUCAAGAAAAGAUAGGGGAGGUAGGAUCUCCCUGGUGGAUACCCCGCGUGGGUAUAAACUCUUCGAGCUUUUAUCCAUUAAACAACACCGAAAAGGAUAAUGAUCUUACCAUGCCCAUUACUGUGUUUAUCCAUGAUCAUGCAAAACCCAGCUUCUCCAUCAUAGCUUGCAAGUAAGAACACUCCAGCGUGUCAUAUGCUUUCAUCACAUCUAGUUUUAAGGCAUAGAAACUAUUCGAUUUUGCCUUACUCCUCUUCAUGAAGUGCAAGCACUCAUAGGCACUAAUGAUGUUGUAUGUGAUCAACCUUCUUGGUACAAAUGUUGAUUGUUCCUCAAAGAGUAUGUCAGAAAGAAUCACCUUGAGCCUGUUUGCCACCACCUUGGAGGCAAUUUUGUAUAUUAGAUUGCAUAGGCUAAUGGGAUGAAACUAAGAAAGCGAACUAGGAUUUAGAACCAUCAGGAUCAACACCAAUACCGUAUCAACACAUUCAUCUCCCUCUUCACCUCUCACAAUUUUCAGAAUCGCCUUAGUUACUUCGUCCCCGCAAAUGUCCAAUGCCUCUGAUAAAAAUGAGCAGGAAAACCAUCAGGCGUUGGUGCCUUCAUAGGGAACAUCUGAAAUAGACUUCCUCAAUCGUGUAGUGCCACAAGCUUUGGAUUCGUAUCUGCCGUAACUCUAAUUGAGACCUUUGGCAGCACAUCACCCAUGCCCGUAACCCCUUCAGAAGUGUAAAGAUUCUUGUGAAAAUCGGUUACAAGUACUCUAAGUUCAACUAGGUAUUCCGUCAACAUCCCCAUGGAAUUUCCAAGAGAUUUGAUCGUGUUCUUCUUCCACCUCUGACUAGCACGGAGGUCAAAGAAUCAUGUAUUCCUAUCUCCGGCUAAUAGCCAUUCCAGGUGAGAUCUUUGCUUCCACAUCAUCUCUUCCCGGUGAUAUAGCUCAAUUAGUUUUUCAUUAACCUUCAACUCCACAUGAGUCAAGGCUAUUCUACUUGGUGCGCUUCGCAAGCGUUCCAAUUCAAGAUUUAGACUUUUUAUUUCUUUCCUUAUAAUGACGAAGGUGUUCUUAUUCCACGACUCUGACCUUCUUGACACGUUAGAUAGUUUUGCCCUCAAGCCGCAAAAGCACUCCGCCGAUCCUCCCAAAGUCCAGCUAGAAGUGAUUGUGUCCUGCCAAGUUUCAUGUGUCUCCUACAUCACCUCAUAUCUAAACCUCCGCUUGGCUUUUGGUGGCAUCAUCCCCUACAACUUCAGCAGUAUCGGGCAAUGGUCAGAUGUUGUUGUUGUUAAGUGCGAGAGAGAUGCAUCGGGAAACCGGUCAUUCCAUUCAUUGUUGCUAGCGCUUGGUCAAGGCGAACCCGAGUGAAACUCCCACCAGUUACUUUCUUCUCAAAAGUCCAGAACUUUCCUUGAUGACCAGUGUCCAUCAGCAUGCACAGGUCCACUGUGUCCCUAAACCCCAUGAUGCUCCUCCGGGCGGAGGACUUUGUUGAAAUCUCCAAUGCAAAGCCAAGAGACGCUGCUCAGGGUGCAUAACCUUUUAAGACAUCGCAAGCCUGAUGGCGUAGAUGUGUUUGUGCUUCCCUUUAGAAAAGGGUCAUCCUCCACGGGUCAGCAUCCGGUUCCUCAAUGCAACAAUCAAUAUGGUAAGUCAUAUAACCAAUAACAUCGAUUUUUAUUAGAUUAUUCCAGAACACACCCAUACCACCACUUCUACCAUGACUACUCACCGCAAAAGCAUUAUCGUAACCAAUACUAGAAUCUAAACUUUCUACCCUCGACCUGCCAAUCUGAGUUUCAACAAUGCAUGUAAGAGUAGGGGCAACAUCCUUUGCAAGAUCGUGAAGUUCUGUCACUCUCACAGUGUUGCCUGCACCACGAUAGUUCUAGCUAAGUACAGUCAUUGUGCCAGGCGGUGCUCCUCGAGGGAGCCCGCUGAUGUUGCAUAGGUUUAUUUAGUAUCUCAUUCCCUGCAAUCCGCCUGUCCGGCUCUGAUACCAACUUGUAACGCCCAAGAUGCGGUCCUAUCCUUAUUCUGGCUCGAGGGCCUCGACAGGGAUAGAAGUGCAUCUCUUCCUUUCACAAGAAUGGAUAUCGUUACAAGUACAUCUAAAGAAGAGAUGAGUAUAUGGAAUUUUCUUACACUCGCCACAAGCUAAUCAUGAUCAUCCCAAUACACACAUACAUUUAGUCACCAGUCAGAAGAACAGGGUCCGACUACGGAAGAAAUCAAACGAAUAAACCACAUCCAUCCUUGCUAUCCCAGGUUGUCGGCCUCGAACCCAUCCUAUGACCGAUGAAGAAGAAGAAGAAGAAGAAGAAACUCCAAACAGAACAAACAUCACGCUCAUGUCAAAGUAUCACUUUACUUGUACCUGUAACUAUUGUUGUAGUAAUAUAUGAGCCGCACGGACUAAGAAACCUCAUUUCCAAAGGUAUCAAGACUAGGAAAGCUUAAUGGGUGAGGUAUGGUUAAGUGGUGAGGCUACAACAAGCACUAAGCAUUUAUUUGAGUGGCUAACUUACGAGUACAAGACUAAGAGGGUGGUGAUCUACGCAUAAACGGACGUGAACUAAUAAUGAUCAAGAAAUGAUCAUGAGCACCUACUUAUGAAUCAAGCAUAAUCCCACCAUGUCCUCUCUCAUAUUCAGAACUCACGAGUAGAGAGAGUCACAGUUACGCACACAGUAGUCAUAUUUUAAUUGAGUUUACUCCAAGUUUGCUAUGAUCGGGUGUUAAAAAAAGAUUCCUAGUUUCCAUAUAACCGCGGGCAUGGCUUUCUGAAACAUUUAACCCUGCACGGGUCAUCCAACUAGUCCAUCACAAACUACCACAAGCUGCAUGGAAUAACCUCAAUCACGGAAAACUCGUAGUCUCCUCGAAAAUUUUGAUGGAAAACCUCAACAUCGAGAUAGCCCAAAGUAUCCUCGGAAUCCCGCGCACAAGACUUUCGAGAAAGGUAAAACAAAUCUAGCAAGGCCACCCGGUGAGCCAGAUCCGCAUCUAGAGUUGCGUGCUCUCUAUCUACGGGCGUCAUCCGUCUACGCAAAGUGGAUGAUAGCCAGAAAAUGCCUCGAGUCUCCCCGAGGUGGCAUCGCCGUCAUGAGGAGCACUGGCCCGGGGGGUUGAUUCAUUAUACACGGGGGCCAACAGGUCCCUAUGCAAUUUUAUUAGUUAUUAGCAAAAUGUAGUACCAAUGGUGGGCCUUGCCAGAAGAGUUAAAUCCCAAAACAAAAAUCAAGGGGGUCCCCAUAGCAACCCCAAGCAUGUUAGGAGCACUCAAUAUGGAACAUAACACCGGUACCCAAGUAACUAGGGCGGAAAAGGUGGAACAAAACACCGAGCCAAAAGUCCAAGCCUUCCACCUCUUACCAAGUAUAUAGGUGCAUUAAAUUAAAUAGCAAUAAUAUUAUGAUAUAUCAAGAAAUCCAUGUUGUCACAUGGAAAUCAACUUGCACCUGCAACUAGAAACGCUAUACGAAGGGUUGAGCAAGCGGUAACAUAGCCAAACAAAGGUUUGCUGGGAUGUGGAGGGGGUUAGAGGCUUUUCAUGGCAAUGUUAGGAGGCUUGACAUUUAAGUGGUAGGUAAUGAGACAUAACGAUAGAAGCGAGACAACUAGCAUAGCAAUGAUAGUAGUGGUAUCCAGGAAAAUGGUCAUCUUGCAUGAGAUCCCUCUUUAAAGAAGAACGGAUCCGUGAAGUAGGUGAACCAACGGAGUCGAACGAAUUCUCACACUCUGACACGCUUGCGGAACUCUAUCAAGAAGAAGGAAUCCAGAAACAAAAAUCAACACCCGAUAAACACCACCACAUAUGCAUGACAUGAUGUGCAAAAAAAUAUGAUGCAUCUCCUUUUUAAAUAUGCGGGGCAUGACAAUCAAAACAAUCAAAUACUACACAUUAAGUGAAGCUCAAUAUGCAACGAGUUGCAUAUUGACGAAACUCCACAUUUGAAUAACUUAGUUCACUCCCAUUUAGGUACAUGACAAUAUUAAAUGUUGUUAAACAUGGAAAGAGGUGACGCAUAAAUAAACUAUAUAUCUAGGCAUUUUAAAUGAGGUUGGAAAUAACAUAUAGCAUUUCCGAAAUGACCCAUAUGUUAAUUCCGAAAUUGGUCCAGAUCUAAACUAAACAUAUUUUAUAUUUUUUUAAAUACGAAAAUAAAUUACAGCAUGUGAUUCUACAUGUCAUUCUAGUUGAAUUACAUAUAUGGAUCAUUCAGACGGAGCUAUGGCCUAGAAGAUAUGACCAUCACAAGAUAAUAUGCCAUGGAUGCAAAAUGUAGGCAAAUGACAACCACAACCAUGUUAAAUCCUGAGUGUAGCAAGAUAUUAUGAAACUACAUGAGAUUCUAGGCAAUUUUUGUUAGAAAUAUGCCCUGGAGGCAAUAAUAAAAUAGUUAUUAUUAUAUUUCUUUGUUCAAGAUAAUCGUUUAUUAUCCAUGCUUGAAUUGUAUUGAAUGGAAACUUAGAUACAUGUGUUGAUACAUAGACAACACAUUGUCCCUAGUAAGCCUCUAUUGGACUAGCUUGUUAAUCAAAGAUGGUCAAGGUUUCCUGGCCAUAGGCAAGAGUUGUCACUUGAUAAUGGGAUCACAUCAUUAGGAGAAUCAUGUGGUGGACAAGACCCAAACUAUGAACGUACCAUGUGAUCGUAUCAUUUUAUUGCUACUAUUUUUCUGCAUGUCAAGUAUAUGUUCCUAUGACCAUGAGAUUAUGUAACUCACUAACACCAGAAGAAUACCUUGUGUGUAUCAAACGUCGCAACGUAACUGGGUGACCAUAAAGGUACUCUGUUGAGUUGGCAGGGAUCAAGACUGGAAUUUAUCACUCUCUGUGAUGGAGAGGUAUCUCGGGGCCCACUCGGGAAUACAACAUCACAACAGCCUUGCAAGCAAUCUGACUAAAGAGUUAGUCACGGGAUUUUGUAUUAUGGAACGAGUAAAGAGACUUGCCGGUAACGAGAUUAAAGUAACAUGCCGAAGGAUAGAGGAAAUAAUAUACGGGACUAAAUGAACCCUUGAGAUAGAGGUUCAACCGAUAAAGAUCUUCGUAGAAUAUGUGGGAGCCAAUAUGGACAUAUAGGUCCCGCUAUUGGUUAUUGACCGGAGAGUGUCUCGGUCAUGUCUACAUAGUUCUGGAACCCACAGGGUCUGCACACUUAAGGUUCGGUGACGUUUCGGUAUAGUUGAAUUACGUAUGUUGGUGACCGAAUGUUGUUUGGAGUCCCGGAUGAGAUCCCGGCGUCACGAGGUGUUCCGGAAUGAUGCACAGACAAAGAUUGAUGUAUAGGAAAGGUAUAUUUGGAUGCCGGAAAGAUUUUGGGUAUUUCAGAUAAAGUACCGGGAGUGACGAAUGGGUUUCGGGGGUUCAUCGGGAGGGGCCACCCACCCGGAGAGGACCACAUAAACCCAAGAGGCGGCGCACCAGCCCGUGGUGGGCUGGGCGGCCAACCCCAUUGUCCUAUGCGCCGAAUAGAGAAGAGGUGGGGCAAUCCCACUAGGAGGAGGACUCCUCCUCCACCAAACCGAGUUGGAGGUCUCCUCCUUCCUUGUGCGCCGCCUAGGGGUUUUUACCUAGGGCGACACCCCUCCCUCCCACCUAUAUAUAAUGGAGAGGAGAGAGGCUAGCCACACCAUAAGCCACGACGCAACCCCUCUCCUUCCACUACUUCGUGACACCCCGUAGGCUAAUUCGGCAGCUGAUACGUCUCCAACAUAUCUAUAAUUUUUGAUUGUUCAUUGCUAUUAUAUUAUCUAUUUUGGAUGUUCUAUAUGCAUUAAUAUGCUAUUUUAUAUUAUUUUUGGGACUAACCUAUUAAUCUAGAGCCUAGUGUCAGUUUUUGUUUUUUCCAUGUUUUUUGAGUAUUGCAGAUAAGAAAUAUUAAAUGGAGUCCAAAUGGAACAAAAUCUAAGGAAAGAUUUUUCUUGGACCAGAAGACACCCAGGAGACUUGGAGUAGGGGGCAAGGCACUUGCCAGGAGGCCACAAGCCUACAGGGCGCGCUCUAGGGGGUGACAGCGCCCCUGGCUUGUGGGCCCCCUGCAGGUCUCCUAACCCUAUUUCUUGGCCUAUAAAUUCCUAAAUAUUAUCGUAUCGCAAAAGACAGACACGAAAAUACUUUUACGCGGCGGGGAGCCUCUGUUCUUGAGAGAAACAAUCUGGGAGCUUUUUCCGGUAAUCUGCCGAAGAGGGAAAUGAUCACGGAGGGCAUCUACAUCAACUGCAUUGCCCCUCCGAUGAUGUGUGAGUAGUUCACCAUAGACCUACGGGUCCAUUGCUAGUAGCUAUAUGGUUUCUUCUCUCUCAUUGAUCUUCAAUACCAUGUUCUUCAUGAUCUUCAUGGAGAUCUAUCCCAUGUAAUACUCUUUUGCGGUGUGUUUGUCGAAAUCCGAUGAAUUGUGAGUUUAUGUUCAGAUUAUCUAUGAAUAUUAUUCGAGUCACUUCUGAAUUAUUAUAUACAAUAUUUCAUAUCUCUGCAACUCUCUUCGAAUUAUUGGUUUGGUUUGGCCAACUAGAUUCGUCAUUCUUGCAAUGGGAGAAGUGCUUAGUUUGGGGUUCAAUCUUGUGGUUUCCUCACCCAGUGACAUAGUAGGGGUAGCGAGGCACGUAUUGUAUUGUUGCCAUCAAGGAUAAAAAGAUUGGAUUUUCAUCAUAUUUCUUGAGUUUAUCCAUUUACAUCAUGCCAUCUUACUUAAUGCGUUACUCUGUUCUUCAUGAACUUAAUACUCUAGAUGCAGGCAGGAGUCGGUCGAUGUGUGGAGUAAUAGUAGUAGAUGCAGAAUCGUUUUGCUCUACUUGAUACGGACGUGAUGCCUAUAUGCAUAAUCAUUUCCUUAGAUAUCUUCAUAAUUAUUUGAUUUUCUAUCAAUUGCUCGACAGUAAUUUGUUCACCCACCGUAUUAUUUUCCUUUAUGGGAGAAGCCUCUAGUGAAACCUAUGGCCCCCGGGUCUAUUUUCCAUAUUAUAUUUUCAGAUCUAUAAACCAAAAAUACUUUGCUACAAUUUAUUUACUUUUAUUUCCGCAAUCUUUUAUAUCUAUCUCUAUCAGAUCUCAUCCUUGCAAAUAACUCUGAAGGGAUUGACAACCCCUUUAUAGCGUUGGGUGUAAGUGUUUGAUUAUUUGUGUAGGUACUACUAUUGGGGCCUUGCUUGUUCCUCCUGCUGGAUUGAUACCUUGGUUCUCAACAAACACAGGGAAAUACUUAUCUACUUCGAUGCAUCACUUUUUCCUCUUCAAGGGAAAACCAACUCAAGCUCAAGAGGUAGCAAGAAGGAUUUCUGGCGCCGUUGCGGGGGAGGAUACAUAGCAAGAUCACGCCUACCAAGUAUCCAUCACAAACUCAUCUCUUGCAUUUCCUUUAUUUUCCAUUUGCCUCUCGUUUUCCUCUCCCCCACUUCUCAAAAUAUUUUCAGAAAAUACCAAAAAGAUUUGCCCUUUUUAUUUGCCUUUUUGUUUGCCUCUCUCCUCCCGGAUCUCUUACUUGUCUCUGUGACUAGCAUUACCACUUCCCCUUUGUCACCAGAUUUUUAACUUUUAUACUUCAAACAAAAACAAAGGGAGAAUUUGAAAGAUGGAUGGUAUAGGCUAAUGGAAACCUAUCGUAUCUCCAACCUAAAAGGAGAUGCGAAGGUUUUGCUUAGAAAUUUUUACAUUGGAUUGGCUUUACAUCAUAGAGAACUUUUAGAUUUUGCCUCGAAAGGGAAUUUUAUUGAAUUAAAUACAAACGUUGCUUAUGAAGUCUUGGAGGGGAUUUUGGGGGUUCCUCCACAGAAAAAGGGGUUUAAUUUUUCAAAAGAGGGAGUUCAAACUCUCGACAAAUUCAGUGACUUACAUAAGCACUUAAUCGAGUUACAACAAUAUCACGAACACCUUAAACAUAUCAAUGGAAACAUCAACCGUUUGAACACUUUGAUUACCCUUUGCAAUAAGAGUUUGGAUACUUUGGACAAUAAGGUGGUUUAUUCACCUACAAACCCGGGGAAGAGGAAAAAGCCCCCCGGAUUUGAGAAAUCCUUCACGAAAAUUGUCAAUAGAAAAGAUGAGAAUACCUAGAUCUAUUGCAUUAUGCCUAGCUAGGGGCGUUAAACAAUAGCGCUUGUUGGUCGGCAACCCAAUUUUAUUUGUUUUGCUUUUGUUUUUGCUUCUGUUUUCGAGUGCAGCACAUAUUAUUACCUCUGUAAUAAUUGUGUUUUCUUGUUUCAAUUAGUGUUUGAGCCAAGUAAGACCUUUGGGAUGGUCUAUGGUGUUUGCAAGUUGAUUUUGCUGAAAAACAGAAACUUUCGCUCUCAGUCUAGGAAUUUUAUAAAUUCACUGGAGUGUGCUUUUGAUCUGAAUUGUUUUACACAAGAUUAAUAUACAAAUUUGCCAGAUCUUCCUAAUUUUUCAUAAUUUUUUGAGUUACCGAAGUAUUCGAAGUAAACAGAUUUCUACAGACUAUUCUGUUUUUGACAGAUUCUGUUUUCUUUGUGUUGUUUGCUUAUUUUGAUGAAUUUAUGAGUUGUAUCAGGGGUAUGAACGAUGGAGAAGUUGGAAUACAGUAAAUAUUACAUCAAUAUAAAUAAAUAAUGAGUUCACAACAGUACCUAAGUGGUGAUUUAUUUUUCUUAUACUAACGGAUCUCAUGAGUUUUCUGUUGAGUUUGGUGUUGUGAAGUUUUCAAGUUUUGGGUAAAGAUUUGAUGGACUACAAAAUAAGGAGUGGCAAGAGCCUAAGCUUGGGGAUGCACAAGGCACCCCAAGCCAUAUUCAAGGAUACCAGAGAUCCUAAGCUUGGGGAUGCCCCGAAAGGCAUCCCUUCUUUCGUCUUCAAUCCAUCGCUAAAUUUACUUGAGGAUAUAUUUUUAUUCACCACAUGAUAUGUGUUUUGCUUGGAGCGUCUUGUAUGAUAUGAGUCGUUACUUUUUAGUUUGCCAAAAUAAUCCUUGAUGCACACAUCUUUUGAGAGAGACACGCUGAAUCAUGAAUUUAUUAGAAUACUCUUUGUGCUUCACUUAUAUCUUUUGAGCUAGGCAAUGUUGCUCUAGUACUUCACUUAUAUAUUUUAGAGCACGGCGGUGUUGUGUUUUAUUGAAAUUAUUAAACUCUCAUACCUCACUUAUAUUAUUUUUAGCUUUCUUUAAACAUCUUGGUAACUGUUUUAGGUUAUGAAUUUAGUUCUAAUAUAAUAGGCAUCCAAGAGGGAUAUAAUAAAAACUUUCAUAUUAAGUGCAUUGAAUAUGAUGAGAAGUUUGAUUCCUUGCAUAUAGUUUUGAGAUAUGAAGAUGGUAAUAUGAGAGUCAUGCUAGUAAGUAAUUGUGAAUUAGAAGAAAUACUUGUGUUAAAGCUUGUGAUUCAUGUAGCAUGCACGUAUGGUGAACCGUUAUGUGAUGAAGUCGAAGCAUGAUUUGUUUAAUGAUUGUCAACAUUUGUGUGGAGGUCGGGAUCACAGGAUGGUUAACUCCUACCAACCCUUCACCUAGGAGCAUGCGUCUAAUACUUUGCUUCGAUAACUAAUAGGCUUUUGCAAUAAGUAUGUGAGUUCUUUAUGACUAAUGUUGAGUUCAUGGAUUAUACACACUCUCACCCUUCCACCUUUGCUAGCCUCUCUUGUACCGCGCAACUUUCGCUGGUACAUUAAACCCACCUUCCUCAAAACAGCCACCAUAUCUACCUAUUAUCGCAUUUUCAUAGCCAUUCUGAGAUAUAUUGCCAUGCAACACCACCGCCUCGUUUUUAUGACACGCACCAUCUGUUCCAUAUUGCUUAUAGAGUCAUACUUUGUUCUAGAUAUCGAGUUGUAAUCUUUUGAGUUGUAAGUAAAUAAAAGUGUGAUGAUUUGCAUUAUUAGAGCAUUGUCCCGUGUGAGAAAAGGAUGAUGGAAGCUAUGAUUACCUCACAAGUAGGGAUGAGUCUCCGGACUUUACAAACAAUAAAAGAGGCCAGCAAAGCCCAUAAAAAAUAAAAUAGGCCAUAGAAGCCCAUCCAAAAAAAAGAAAAAAAGAAUAAAUGAGAAUAAAAUGAGAGAAAGAUAAAAGGGACAAUGCUACUAUCUUUUCCCAAACUUGUGCUUCAAAGUAGCACCAUGUUCUACAUAGAGAGUCCUCUAUUUUGUCGCUUUCAUAUAACUAGUAGUAUUACAUCUUUUGCACAACCACUUAGUGUUCUUUUUGAGCUUUCAUACACGUAUAGCUCUAGUGCAUUUGUUGCAUGCCAAUCCCUACUCACUCACAUUAAUAUCUAUUGAUGGACAUCUCCAUAGCCCGUUGAUAUGCCUAGUUGAUGUGAGACUAUCUUCUAUAGCCAGGCUUAUUAGGGAUGAUAGACUACUCGUAUCAAUAAGGAAUUCCUUCUUUUCCGGGAGCCCAUUCGAACAGAACUCCCAGGUUAAGCGUGCUUGGCUUGGAGUAGUUCUAGUAUGGGUGACCGACUGGGAAGUUGAUCCCGGGUGCGCAUGAGUGAGGACAAAGUGCGCAGAAAAGACUAGUAUUGAUAUGUGGGGCCAGUCUAGAUCCCGUCAGGAGUAACGAUCGCCGGCGGGUGUGUCCGAGGUGUUACAAGUUUGGUAUCAGAGCUGACCCUCGCGGUUACACGGAUGUUUGCGGACAGGUGUGCGGUCAUGUUGUUCAUGACGUUUGUGACCCGUCGUGGCACACGGCAUGGUACAUCUACUGGACUGGAUGCACAGACGUUUGUACCAAGAGGGAACGCUCCUAUGGCCCGACGAGGACGUCGGUUCCUCUGAGUGGUGGUGUAUGUGAUAGCCUGGCUUAUUAGGGAUGAUAGACUACUCACAUCAAUAAGGAAUUCCUUCUUUUUCGGGAGCCCAAUCGAACAGAACUCCUAGGUUAAGCGUGCUUAGCUUGGAGUAGUUCUAGGAUGGGUGACCGACCGGGAAGUUGAUCCUGGGUGCGCAUGAGUGAGGACAAAGUGCGCAGAACAGACUAGUAUUGAUUGAUAUGUGGGGGUAGCCUAGAUCCUGUCAGGAGUAACGAUCACCGGCGGGUGUGUCCGGGGUGUUACACUUCUCUCUUUUUUGCAACCUCCACCACACUCUAUUCCACCUAUAGUGCUAUAUCCAUGGCUCAUGCUCAUUUAUUGCGUGAGAGUUGAAAAGGUUUGAGAACAUAAAAAAGUGUGAAAAAAUUGCUUGAUUUUCAUCGGGAUUGUGCAUGAUUUAGAUACUUUGUGUGGUGAAGAUGGAGCAUAGCCAGACCAUAUGAUUUUGUAGGGAUAACUUUCUAAGACCAUGUUAUUUUGAAAGGAAGCAAUUACCUUAUUAGUAUGAUUGAAGUAUUAUUGUAUUUGUGUCAAUAUUAGACUUUUAUUUUGAGUCUUAUGGAUCUUAAUAUUCAUGCCACAUUAGAGAAUAUUACAUGGAUAAAUAUGUUAGGUAGCAUUCCACAUAAAAAAUUCUAUUUUUAUCAUUUACCUACUCUAGG